Molecule: long non-coding RNA, 1259 nt
Filed under: Homo sapiens (human)
Lineage: Eukaryota; Metazoa; Chordata; Mammalia; Primates; Hominidae
Description: HSALNT0173149
Source: RNAcentral
GCAAAAGGUGCUCCUUCCACAUUCCAGAGUCUUACUCCAAGAAGAGCAUCUUCCGAGAGUCUUGAGAAUAUCUUCCUAUUUAUCAUGCUGUCCAGGAAGCAUAGCAGAAUCUACUUGGUUUCUGGGGAGAUCUCAGGAAACUUAUAAUCAUGGAGGAACUUGAAGUGUGAGCAGGCACAUCACAUGGCGAAAGCAGGAACAGAAGAGAGCAGGAUGAGGGAGUGCUUUAAAUUAAAUAACCAGUUCUCCCAAGAACUCAUUCACUACUGCAAGGACAGUACCAACAUGAUGCUACUAAAUUGUUGAAGAGAAAUCCACCCCCAUCGUCCAAUCACCCCUCUCCAACCUUGGGAAUUACAAUUCAACAUAAGAUUUAGAUGAGGACUCAGAUCCAAACCCUAUUAUUCCAUGAUCUUGAAGGUUUAUGACAUUUCCUAAAAAUCACUAGUGGUUUGCCUGGGUGCAAUGGCACAUGUCUGUAAUCCCAGCACUUUGAAAGGCCCAGGCAAGAGGAUCACUUGAGCCCAGGAGUUUGAGAUCAGCCUGGGCAACAUAGUCUCUACAAAUAUUAAUUAAUUAGGAAAGAAAGAAGAAAAAAUGAAGGAAGGAAGGAAGAGAGGGAAGGAAGGGAAGGAAGGAAACACUGGUGACUUGUUCGUAAAGCAUAUUUCUUACUCAAAUGUUUCCAGUGCUGUCUCUCAACUGCAGAGGACAGUAUUACCAGACUAUUUUUUUUUUCCGGCAUAAUGUUGUCCUCUCAAGUUUUUUAAAAUGCCCUCGCUUAAUUUGUUACCCACCAUUAUUCACAUGCGUCCUUAUCUUUUACUUGCCAUCCACCUGAGGAAAAAUCAUUCCACAGUCCAAAAGAAAAGCUAAUGAGACCUCCUAGGCUUCCUAGGGAAACUAUGGGAUAUUUUCUAUGAAUCAGCAAAUACUAAGCUCUCCUCUUUCAUGGUGAACCAAUAACAGAUUUACAUAGAGUGAAAGUCUGGUCCAUACAGUCUGCCACAAAAGAAGGUGUUAGAGUUUUUGGUGCUAAGAGAAUUUCACUUCUUGUCCAUCUCCUAAAAGGCAUACUGGAAAUUGUCAUGCACACAAGCUGAUGGGUUUAGCUUAAAAACAAAUCAAUGAAACUAGGAGAGGAGAAUUGAAUCAUGAAUAAUAAAUAUUUGAUUAUCUCAUUGUUUAAUAUUCAGAUGACACUUUAAAUAUUUAAGCUGAGUUAGAUAAACUCAAAAAUAAAUUUGUCCUAACAGGUU